Molecule: long non-coding RNA, 668 nt
Filed under: Trifolium pratense (red clover)
Lineage: Eukaryota; Viridiplantae; Streptophyta; Magnoliopsida; Fabales; Fabaceae
Description: long non-coding RNA (TPRA_LNC004612)
Source: RNAcentral
UACAUUUUCGUCGACAAUUUGUUUGUGAAUGGGUGUUGCAUCCUCAAAAUCUCGAGUUGAAACAUGUAUGAGUAGAAGCAAGUCUGCCGGAUGACUUCUCAAUAAAUUCGCUUCAGUCUUGAUUGGGUAACUCAUCUAUCAUCUUUUUUUUUUUUGCAUUGUGUGUUGUCAUUUUUUUGCAUUGUGAAUUUGAUGGUCCUCCAUAUCCAUGAUGUAUUGAUGUAUGUGUCCUUUUAAGUUUUUUGUUUUAUUGUCGGUAGUGACUUAACCAAAAGCGUGCCUCCUAAAUUAUUUGUAUUACAGAUAUAGGGAGAGUUUCACUCUCACAAUGCAGGGAAACGUAAUCUUGUGCAAGAUUCCCAAAUGGUAAUUUAGGCGCAGUUGAAGUGACAAUGAAUCAAGUAACAAAUCAAGAUUCCUGAAGGUUGAGAUAAUGUCUGUUGUGAGUUAAGACUGUGAGCGGACAAAUAUUGAUGCUCAUAUUUCUGUGAGCGUGUCCUAAAUGUUUAUGCUUUUAUUUUGGCAUCUCAUUAUUUUGGUUGUUAAGCAAACAAAUCUUUGGGUUUCCUUCUUCAUACUGGCUUAAUUUGGUUAUUGUGAUAAAAGAAUGAAUACAGUUUGUUUGUUGUUAAGUGCUUUAACUUGAAGAUCAGUAGAAGAAGCUACUU